CAGUCGCCGCGGUAAGACAGAGGAUGCAAGCGUUAUCCGGAAUGAUUGGGCGUAAAGCGUCUGUAGGUGGCUUUUCAAGUCCGCCGUCAAAUCCCAGGGCUCAACCCUGGACAGGCGGUGGAAACUACCAAACUGGAGUACGGUAGGGGCAGAGGGAAUUUCCGGUGGAGCGGUGAAAUGCGUUGAGAUCGGAAAGAACACCAACGGCGAAAGCGCUCUGCUGGGCCGACACUGACACUGAGAGACGAAAGCUAGGGGAGCAAAUGGGAUUAGAUACCCCCGUAGUCCCUGUCUCUUAUAC
This 301-nucleotide ribosomal RNA is filed under the name uncultured bacterium. Its description in RNAcentral is "partial 16S ribosomal RNA". It matches the Rfam family "Bacterial small subunit ribosomal RNA", at positions 509 to 807 of the family's 1533-position model. The record is from RNAcentral.